Molecule: long non-coding RNA, 1240 nt
Organism: Phyllopteryx taeniolatus (common seadragon)
Lineage: Eukaryota; Metazoa; Chordata; Actinopteri; Syngnathiformes; Syngnathidae
Exons: 3
Source: RefSeq, a predicted model, not a curated record
AAUUGACCCAAGGCAUGUUGGGCCUUGUUUCUCACACGGUUCAAUUUUGUUGUCACUUACCGUCCAGGAUCCCAAAACGUCAAACCUGAUGCCUUGUCCCGAAUCCAUAGCCCUACUUGGGAGGACUCCACACCGGAGACCAUCAUGCCUCUGGUCCGAGUUGUGGGUGCGCUCCAGUGGGAGGUAGAGAAGAAGUUUCGCCAGCGCUACAAAGGAGGUACAGAUUCCUGAAGGCUGCCCUAAAGACAGACUAUUUGUUCAAGUGACUUUGAGUUCUGAGGUUCUGCAGUGGGGACAUGGGUCGAAGGUGACGAGUCACCCAGGGGCCGGCAGGACCAACUUCCUCCCGGAGGUUUUGGUGACCUGGUAUUGACAAUGACAGAGAAUUUGUCUCUGCCUGUCCUGUAUGUGCCUGUAGCAAUUCUUCUCAUCAUCAGCCAGCGGGGUUGGUUAGGCCGCUUCCCGUCACUACCCGCCCAUGAUCUCAUAUUGCUAUGGACUGUCAUCCUCACCGUUGUGGACCAUUUCUCCAAGAUGGUCCACUUUGCCAACCUUCCAAAGCUUCCUUCUGCUAUAGAGACAGCUAAUCUUCUGGUCAAGGAUGUCUUUCACAUUUAUGUCAUUCUUUCCAACUUGGUUUCUGACAGGGGUCCACAGUUUAGGUCAAAGGUUUGGAGGGGUUUUUCCAGAGCUCUUCGAGCCGGUCAGCCGGUUUCCAUCCACAGUCCAAUGGCCAGACGGAAUGGACUAACCAGGACUCUCCGCUGCGUCUACCACCAGGGUCCCUCCUCCUGGUCCUCCCGCAACUCCCCCAUCAUCUCGUCCACGGACUGCCAUUCGUAAUCUGCGGAUUGCUGAUCGUCACAGGAUUCCUGCCCCAAACUACCGUCGGGGUCAAGAGGCCCAUCUAGUGUUUCAUGUCUACCCCAGCUCACUGUGUCCUCCGUCGGUGCCUCCUCCUCCGCGUGUGAUCGAUGGUCAGCCAGCAUACACAGUGAAGUUGAUUUUUGGACUCCAGAAGCAGAGGCAGGGUUUUUCGGUACCUGGUCGACUGAGAGGGUUAUAGACCUGAGGAGCGUUUUUGGAUCCUGGAUCUGUCUAUAGUUCGUGACUUCAACUCACUCGAUUUGUCCAGACAGGGUAAGCUGCCAGGGGGCAUCCAUUGACGUGGGGGUACUGUCAUGUUCUGGUGAUCCUGCAAGUUUCUGUGUUUGGGUUUUUUUCAGUGGCUGCCAUGGAU